RNAcentral lists this long non-coding RNA (1366 nucleotides) under Mus musculus (house mouse). Its description in RNAcentral is "long non-coding RNA chr12:26877807-26879173". The record is from RNAcentral. Lineage: Eukaryota; Metazoa; Chordata; Mammalia; Rodentia; Muridae.
GCUCCUGCAGGGCAACCUGAGAGGAAGCAGGGUGGUGCCAGACAGAGGGACAGCUGACUUCCAGCUUCCUCAGUAAUUUUGCUUAGGGCUGGCUUUGUGUGUGUGUAAAUCACUCAGAUAAUUGCUGUAAUUCUGUGCUUAGCUUGGCUGCUUAGACCCUGGGUUCAUGAAUAUUCAUGAGAUCUAUCCACACCACACUAUUACUUAAAAUUUCCUAGACAGCUUUCAUGCUGAGAGUGCCAGCUUGUUUGUGCUGAGAAGAAGAUGGCCAUGAUUUUCUCGUCUGAGUGGGAGUGAGCUGACUGUGGUCGGAUGCUUCCCUGACUGUCCACCGACGUAAUGGCAAGAAGUAGCUCGAUGUGUCCGCAUGGCACACUUCUCUGCAGUCUUCAUCCAGAUUUUUCCUUCUGUAUUUGCCUGAUCAAAACCUGCAUCAAGCACAGGGUCUCUGGCACCCAAGACAAGGUGACCAUGCAGUGGGUCCCAUGGUCCACUCAGGAGACAACGGGAUGGCCUAUCAGGAUAGCAAAGCAUGCAAAGGCUUUGGGCACUGUCUGCCAAGUCAAAAUGGGGUGCCUAAAACUAAGAAGGGCUGGCAAUUCAAGUGCAGCCAUGCUUGAGUCUUUAAAUGAACCCAUGUUAGAUAUGCCAUUUAUGGAGGAGAGUGAUCAUCUGCAAUGGGGAGAAGAGUUAUUGGAAUGUCAUUAUGUAUGUUUGCACACAUCGCCCUAUAGCUAGACAACUCCAUGGAUUUACUAUCGUGGACUUGAAGAGUGUGUGGUUCUGUCUGUGUUAAGGAGCUCCGGAAAGAUGGUUCUGAUGGAAGAGGCAUCAGAGUGGAUCAGAGAUAUGAGUCAUCUCCCAGUCAAGGAGCUGAAGAAAGCUGAGAUCUCUGGAGGAAGAUGACCACACUUGGAAUGCCUUUCUGAGGGUGUGAAGAGCAGAGACAUCUUCCUCCGGGUGAGAGACAUCAUCUGAAGGAGUACGGCAGAGACAUGGCUAUUUGAAAUAUAGACUCUUAACUAAGAAUUCUUUGGCCAUCCUGUUUUCCUGAAGGAAGGCUGGCUGGAUCUCAGCCUGUUGCACAGAGAUCAACCUGUCUGCUAAACCCGAGGCUCAGGAACUCUCUAGAAAUGGUUACUCUAUCACACCAUGCAAGAAACAACCUGAAUAAAAAAACUGCUUCUCUGUCCAUGGUUAUUCCCGAAGUGUGUGCUGGAGUCAAUGUGUUACAAUGAGUGAGAAUUCACAUUUGCACUUAGUGGUGUGCUCUGGGAGUUUGCAUGGUUGAGGAGAAAGGUAGAUCGUUUUUAUUUAUCUUAUUUGCUCUUGACUGUUAGAUAAAAGUCAUGUAUAGUUUAGAUUA